RNAcentral lists this ribosomal RNA (301 nucleotides) under uncultured bacterium. RNAcentral's name for it is "partial 16S ribosomal RNA". It matches the Rfam family "Bacterial small subunit ribosomal RNA", at positions 509 to 807 of the family's 1533-position model. The record is from RNAcentral.
CAGCAGCCGCGGUAAUACGAAGGGGGCUAGCGUUGUUCGGAUUUACUGGGCGUAAAGCGCACGUAGGCGGACUUUUAAGUCAGGGGUGAAAUCCCGGGGCUCAACCCCGGAACUGCCUUUGAUACUGGGAGUCUUGCGUUCGAGAGAGGUGAGUGGAAUUGCGAGUGUAGAGGUGAAAUUCGUAGAUAUUCGCAGGAACACCAGUGGCGAAGGCGGCUCACUGGCUCGAUACUGACGCUGAGGUGCGAAAGCGUGGGGAGCAAACAGGAUUAGAUACCCCCGUAGUCCCUGUCUCUUAUAC